AACGAACGCUGGCGGCAUGCCUAACACAUGCAAGUCGAACGAGACCUUCGGGUCUAGUGGCGCACGGGUGCGUAACGCGUGGGAACCUGCCCUUAGGUUCGGAAUAACUCCCCGAAAGGGGUGCUAAUACCGGAUAAUGUCUUCGGACCAAAGAUUUAUCGCCUUUGGAUGGGCCCGCGUUGGAUUAGCUAGUUGGUAGGGUAAAAGCCUACCAAGGCGACGAUCCAUAGCUGGUCUGAGAGGAUGAUCAGCCACACUGGGACUGAGACACGGCCCAGACUCCUACGGGAGGCAGCAGUGGGGAAUAUUGGACAAUGGGCGAAAGCCUGUUCCAGCAAUGCCGCGUGAGUGAUGAAGGCCUUAGGGUUGUAAAGCUCUUUUACCCGGGAUGAUAAUGACAGUACCGGGAGAAUAAGCUCCGGCUAACUCCGU
This 432-nucleotide ribosomal RNA is filed under the name uncultured bacterium. RNAcentral's name for it is "partial 16S ribosomal RNA". It matches the Rfam family "Bacterial small subunit ribosomal RNA", at positions 29 to 506 of the family's 1533-position model. The record is from RNAcentral.